CCAAAGAAACAACCAGAACACAGAGUUCGUAAAGAAGAGAGGAUGAUGCUGCCCUUAAUGCUCAGCUGAUUACAGACUAAACACAAAAGUUCCCAGAGGAAAAUGGUGGACUUGGGAGCUGCUGCCUCAGGAGGAUCUUGAGUGUUAGUGGUUCCUCCCUAUCAGAUGUACCUAAUGCCCAGGAUUUAAUAAAGGAUCAUUCCCAUUCCA
This is a long non-coding RNA of Homo sapiens (human), 210 nucleotides long. RefSeq lists it as uncharacterized. The transcript is spliced from 2 exons. The record is from RefSeq and is a predicted model, not a curated record. NCBI's taxonomy places the organism in Eukaryota, Metazoa, Chordata, Mammalia, Primates, Hominidae.